Long non-coding RNA from Corythoichthys intestinalis (scribbled pipefish), 593 nucleotides. RefSeq lists it as uncharacterized. Lineage: Eukaryota; Metazoa; Chordata; Actinopteri; Syngnathiformes; Syngnathidae. The record is from RefSeq and is a predicted model, not a curated record. The transcript has 3 exons.
AGACAAAAAUGCAUUCUGCAAAAUAGGAAAAUAACUCACAAAGCACAAGGACACAAGGCUGGGCACAGCGACUGGGAGAUCAAUUGGUGUUACUCUAAGCCAACAGAACAAUGAAGAUGCAUUGAAAAGGUCGCUCCAUCAUCUCAAGAACACUUCCUACAGUUCAGCCUGUGUGACAGACUUCUUUUCAUCCCUUGGUUUCUCUCGACUCGCCCCCUCUCUUUGGCAGUUUCUCCUUUUUGACAAGGUCGAGGCCCUUGCCAUGCUUGGAGCUGCUUAAGCCGGUGGCUCGUUGCUGGAUGGAUUGCAGCGAGUUUCUUUGUCCCAUCAGUGAUGACCUUCAGAGGGAUUCUGAUGCAGUAGGAUGUCACCCAGCUUGGCAGCACCAGACGGACCGCUGCAAAGGCAAGGACACAAGUACCACAAAUAGAUCACCCAAACAAACAGCCAAUUUUUCUUGAAGUGAAAUGGGACUGAAAAUGUAUUAUGUGCCAAUGCAGCUCUGGGUCAUUUUCCCAGUAAGCUUUUGCAUGUGGACAAUUGUUAUGAACACAAGUCUCAUAGUUGUUUUUUUUUUUUUUUUUUUAAAAAAA